AGAGUUUGAUCAUGGCUCAGAAUCAACGCUGGCGGCGUGCCUAACACAUGCAAGUCGAACGAGAAAGUCCGGGUGUAGCAAUACAUCCGGGCGAGUAAAGUGGCGUACGGGUGAGUAACACGUAGCCAACCUGCCCUCAAGCGGGGGAUAACCUGGGGAAACCUGGGCUAGUACCGCAUAACAUCCCGGUGGCGUGAGCGACUGGGAUCAAAGGCCCGCAAGGGUCACUCGAGGAGGGGGCUGCGGCCGAUUAGCUAGUUGGCGGGGUAACGGCCCACCAAGGCGAUGAUCGGUAGCCGGCCUGAGAGGGCGCACGGCCACACUGGCACUGAAACACGGGCCAGACUCCUACGGGAGGCAGCAGUGGGGAAUUUUGCACAAUGCCCGAAAGGGUGAUGCAGCAACGCCGCGUGAGGGAUGAAGGCCUUCGGGUCGUAAACCUCUUUCGACCGGGAAAAAUGGGCGGGUGAAUAGCUCGCUCUGAUGGUACCGGUGGAAGAAGCCCCGGCUAACUACGCGCCAGCAGCCGCGGUAAUACGUAGGGGGCGAGCGUUGUUCGGAAUUACUGGGCGUAAAGGGCGUGUAGGCGGCGCGGUAAGUCGAGCGUGAAAUCCCCGGGCCUAACCCGGGGCGGCCGUUCGAGACUGCCGUGCUAGGGUGCGGGAGGGGGAAGUGGAAUUCCCGGUGUAGCGGUGAAAUGCGUAGAUACCGGGAGGAACACCUGUGGCGAANGCGGCUUCCUGGACCGUAACCGACGCUGAGGCGCGA
RNAcentral lists this ribosomal RNA (768 nucleotides) under uncultured bacterium. RNAcentral's name for it is "bacterial SSU rRNA". It matches the Rfam family "Bacterial small subunit ribosomal RNA", at positions 8 to 756 of the family's 1533-position model. The record is from RNAcentral.